GACGAACGCUGGCGGCGUGCUUAACACAUGCAAGUCGAACGGAAAGGCCUGCUUUCCCUUGUGGAUUGCGGGUACUCGAGUGGCGAACGGGUGAGUAACCCGUGAGUGAUCUGCCCCCAACUUGGGUAUAAGCCUGGGAAACUGGGUCUAAUUCCCGAUAGGACUGCAGGGUGGUGCCUGUGGUGGAAAACGAUUUUCUAGUGGUUGGGGAUGAGCUCGCGGCCUAUCAGCUUGUUGGUGGGGUAAUGGCCUACCAAGGCGGCGACGGGUAGCCGGCCUGAGAGGGUGGACGGCCACAUUGGGACUGAGAUACGGCCCAGACUCCUACGGGAGGCAGCAGUGGGGAAUAUUGCACAAUGGGCGGAAGCCUGAUGCAGCGACGCCGCGUGGGGGAUGACGGCCUUCGGGUUGUAAACUCCUUUCGACCGCGAGGAAGCCACCUGGUUGGAAGGGUGGUGACGGUAGUGGUAGAAGAAGCACCGGCUAACUACGUG
Molecule: ribosomal RNA, 494 nt
Filed under: uncultured bacterium
Lineage: Bacteria
Description: partial 16S ribosomal RNA
Rfam family: Bacterial small subunit ribosomal RNA
Source: RNAcentral